Long non-coding RNA from Hemicordylus capensis (graceful crag lizard), 375 nucleotides. RefSeq lists it as uncharacterized. Lineage: Eukaryota; Metazoa; Chordata; Lepidosauria; Squamata; Cordylidae. The record is from RefSeq and is a predicted model, not a curated record. The transcript is spliced from 3 exons.
AACUCCAGCUGCAACGAUAAAGAAUGCGGGUCUAGUUACUCAAGUGUCCAAAAAGCUGUUUAUGUAUUUAACUAGCCAGAGAGAAGCAUGGUGGUGAUUGCAGCAUCCAAACUUGUGAAGGAGUUUAAAGAAGCAAAACAACACCUAAAAGUCUUGUGCAGAUGCAAAAUCAAAGGAGCGCUGCUUCAAAGGCAUCAGCUCAGUUGUAAGAUGAGGGCUGAGAGAGAUUCCUGCAUGCAACCUUGGAGAAGCCACUGCCAGUUGUGAAGACAAUACUGAGCUAGAUAGACCAAUGGUCUGACUCAGUACAUGGCAGUUUCCUAUGUUUCCUAUGUUCCUAACAAUGUGAAUAAAACUGCAGUUAUAGCGAGCAAA